GACGAACGCUGGCGGCGUGCUUAACACAUGCAAGUCGAGCGAUCGGCCUUGGAGGGGUAACCCUCCUUGGUACGGAGCGGCGAACGGGUGAGUAACACGUGGGCAACCUGCCCCAGGCUCUGGAAUAACCCCGGGAAACGGGGCUAAUGCCGGAUAUUCUCGUAGGGUCGCAUGGCCUCUCGAGGAAAGAAUUUCGGCCUGGGAUGGGCCCGCGGCCUAUCAGCUUGUUGGCGGGGUAACGCCCACCAAGGCUGCGACGGGUAGCUGGUCUGAGAGGACGACCAGCCACACUGGCACUGCGACACGGGCCAGACUCCUACGGGAGGCAGCAGUGAGGAAUAUUGCGCAAUGGACGACAGUCUGACGCAGCGACGCCGCGUGGGGAUGAAGG
RNAcentral lists this ribosomal RNA (391 nucleotides) under uncultured bacterium. Its description in RNAcentral is "bacterial SSU rRNA". It matches the Rfam family "Bacterial small subunit ribosomal RNA", at positions 28 to 414 of the family's 1533-position model. The record is from RNAcentral.